UACGUAGGGGGCUAGCGUUGUCCGGAUUUAUUGGGCGUAAAGAGCGUGUAGGCGGCCAUGUAGGUCCGGUGUGAAAACUCGAGGCUUAACCUCGAGAUGUCAUCGGAAACCAUUUGGCUAGAGUCCGGAAGAGGAGAGUGGAAUUCCUGGUGUAGCGGUGAAAUGCGCAGAUAUCGGGAGGAACACCAAUGGCGAAGGCAGCUUGCUGGGACGGUACUGACGCUAAGGAGCGAAAGCGUGGGGAGCGAACAGG
This 253-nucleotide ribosomal RNA is filed under the name uncultured bacterium. Its description in RNAcentral is "partial 16S ribosomal RNA". It matches the Rfam family "Bacterial small subunit ribosomal RNA", at positions 524 to 776 of the family's 1533-position model. The record is from RNAcentral.